This 348-nucleotide ribosomal RNA is filed under the name uncultured bacterium. Its description in RNAcentral is "partial 16S ribosomal RNA". It matches the Rfam family "Bacterial small subunit ribosomal RNA", at positions 338 to 683 of the family's 1533-position model. The record is from RNAcentral.
CCUACGGGAGGCAGCAGUGAGGAAUAUUGGUCAAUGGGCGUAAGCCUGAACCAGCCAAGUCGCGUGAGGGAUGAAGGUUCUAUGGAUCGUAAACCUCUUUUAUAAGGGAAUAAAGUGCGGGACGUGUCCCGUUUUGUAUGUACCUUAUGAAUAAGGAUCGGCUAACUCCGUGCCAGCAGCCGCGGUAAUACGGAGGAUCCGAGCGUUAUCCGGAUUUAUUGGGUUUAAAGGGUGCGUAGGCGGCCUUUUAAGUCAGCGGGGAAAGUCUGUGGCUCAACCAUAGAAUUGCCGUGGAAACUGGGAGGCGUGAUUAUGUUUGAGGCAGGCGGAAGGCGUGGUGUAGCGGUG